CCUACGGGAGGCUGCAGUGAGGAAUAUUGGUCAAUGGACGAGAGUCUGAACCAGCCAAGUAGCGUGAAGGAUGACUGCCCUAUGGGUUGUAAACUUCCUUUAUAUGGGAAUAAAACGUUCCACGUGUGGGAUUUUGUAUGUACCAUAUGAAUAAGGAUCGGCUAACUCCGUGCCAGCAGCCGCGGUAAUACGGAGGAUCCGAGCGUUAUCCGGAUUUAUUGGGUUUAAAGGGAGCGUAGGUGGAUUGUUAAGUCAGUUGUGAAAGUUUGCGGCUCAACCGUAAAAUUGCAGUUGAAACUGGCAGUCUUGAGUACAGUAGAGGUGGGCGGAAUUCGUGGUGUAGCGGUGAAAUGCUUAGAUAUCACGAAGAACUCCGAUUGCGAAGGCAGUUCACUGGACUGCAACUGACACUGAGGCUCGAAAGUGUGGGUAUCAAACAGGAUUAGAUACCCGGGUAGUC
This 460-nucleotide ribosomal RNA is filed under the name uncultured bacterium. RNAcentral's name for it is "partial 16S ribosomal RNA". It matches the Rfam family "Bacterial small subunit ribosomal RNA", at positions 338 to 795 of the family's 1533-position model. The record is from RNAcentral.